GGACAUAUAACUCAGCUGGUUAGAGUAUCACGCUGACAUCGUGAAAGUCACUGGUUCAAAUCCAGUUAUGUCCA
RNAcentral lists this transfer RNA (74 nucleotides) under Nemalion sp. H.1444. Its description in RNAcentral is "tRNA-Val". It matches the Rfam family "tRNA". From Rfam's summary of the family: Transfer RNA (tRNA) molecules are approximately 80 nucleotides in length. Their secondary structure includes four short double-helical elements and three loops (D, anti-codon, and T loops). Lineage: Eukaryota; Rhodophyta; Florideophyceae; Nemaliales; Nemaliaceae. The record is from RNAcentral.